UUGAANUGGGGGCACCCUGAUCCAGCGACGCCGCGUGUGUGAAGAAGGCCUGCGGGUUGUAAAGCACUUUUAGUGGGGAUGAAAAGCUCAGGGCUAAUACCUCUGGGUCUUGACCUAACCCACAGAAAAAGCACCGGCUAACUCUGUGCCAGCAGCCGCGGUAAUACAGAGGGUGCAAGCGUUAAUCGGAAUUACUGGGCGUAAAGCGUACGUAGACGGUUGUGUAAGUCGGAUGUGAAAGCCCCGGGCUCAACCUGGGAAUUGCAUUCGAGACUGCACAGCUAGGGUGCGGAAGAGGGAAGCGGAAUUCCCAGUGUAGCGGUGAAAUGCGUAGAUAUUGGGAGGAACACCAGUGGCGAAAGCGGCUUCCUGGUCCAGCACCGACGUUCAGGUACGAAAGCAUGGGGAGCAAACAGGAUUAGAUACCCUGGUAGUCCAUGCCAUAAACGAUGAGGACUAGACGUUGAAAGGGUAAGCCUUCCAGUGUCGUAGCUAACGCGCUAAGUCCUCCGCCUGGGGAGUACGGCCGCAAGGUUGAAACUCAAAAGAAUUGACGGA
Molecule: ribosomal RNA, 558 nt
Filed under: uncultured bacterium
Lineage: Bacteria
Description: bacterial SSU rRNA
Rfam family: Bacterial small subunit ribosomal RNA
Source: RNAcentral